GGGGACGUUUUGGAUUCGACAGGGAUAGGUCGUGCUUGCGUUGCGAGUCGAGGGGUCGGCCUCGUUAAAACGCACAAGCCAAUUAACUGGCAAAGAAAACAACAACUUCGCUUUAGCUGCAUAAGCUAAGCGGUCUCACCUCUCCAUCGCCCAUGUGGAGUGGCUGAGACUCAACUGAAGUGGGAUACGCCUUGCUCCCUCCGCCUGAGGGAGCGGGAAGAGACCAAUCAGGCUAGCUGCACAGAAGCCUGUCUUCGGGCUGACGUGUUAGCGAAAUGCUAAUACGAAGACUACGCUCGUAGAAGCGUAAGUGUCGUUGUCUCUGGACGUGGGUUCAAUUCCCACCGUCUCCAUAU
Molecule: transfer-messenger RNA, 356 nt
Filed under: Bacilli
Lineage: Bacteria; Bacillati; Bacillota
Also listed under: 1 other name
Description: Bacillus_H xiaoxiensis Standard tmRNA
Rfam family: transfer-messenger RNA
About the family: Bacterial tmRNA, also known as 10Sa RNA or SsrA, is named for its dual tRNA and mRNA-like properties. Its role is to liberate the mRNA from a stalled ribosome.
Source: RNAcentral